CUACGGGAGGCUGCAGUGAGGAAUUUUGCGCAAUGGGGGCAACCCUGACGCAGCAACGCCGCGAGUGAAGAAGGCCUUUGGGUCGUAAAGCUCUGUCAACUGGGAAGAAAUUAGCGUCAAUUAAUAGUUGUUGUUAUUGACGGUACCAGUGGAGGAAGCGCCGGCUAACUCCGUGCCAGCAGCCGCGGUAACACGGGGGGCGCAAGCGUUAUUCGGAAUUAUUGGGCGUAAAGGGCGCGCAGGGGGUCUUGUCAGUCAGGUGUGAAAGCCCGGGGCUCAACCCUGGAAGUGCACUUGAAACAGCAAGACUUGAGUACGGGAGAGGAAAGCGGAAUUCCUGGUGUAGAGGUGAAAUUCGUAGAUAUCAGGAGGAACACCGAUGGCGAAGGCAGCUUUCUGGACCGAUACUGACGCUGAGGCGCGAAGGCGUGGGUAGCGAACGGGAUUAGAUACCCUAGUAGUC
Molecule: ribosomal RNA, 463 nt
Filed under: uncultured bacterium
Lineage: Bacteria
Description: partial 16S ribosomal RNA
Rfam family: Bacterial small subunit ribosomal RNA
Source: RNAcentral